AAGCUAAUACCGCAUACGACCUACGGGUGAAAGGGGGCUUUUAGCUCUCGCUAUUAGAUGAGCCUAAGUCGGAUUAGCUGGUUGGUGGGGUAAAGGCCUACCAAGGCGACGAUCUGUAGCUGGUCUGAGAGGAUGAUCAGCCACACUGGGACUGAGACACGGCCCAGACUCCUACGGGAGGCAGCAGUGGGGAAUAUUGGACAAUGGGCGAAAGCCUGAUCCAGCCAUGCCGCGUGUGUGAAGAAGGCCUUUUGGUUGUAAAGCACUUUAAGUGGGGAGGAAAAGCUUAUGGUUAAUACCCAUAAGCCCUGACGUUACCCACAGAAUAAGCACCGGCUAACUCUGUGCCAGCAGCCGCGGUAAUACAGAGGGUGCAAGCGUUAAUCGGAAUUACUGGGCGUAAAGCGCGCGUAGGUGGUUAUUUAAGUCAGAUGUGAAAGCCCCGGGCUUAACCUGGGAACUGCAUCUGAUACUGGAUAACUAGAGUAGGUGAGAGGGGAGUAGAAUUCCAGGUGUAGCGGUGAAAUGCGUAGAGAUCUGGAGGAAUACCGAUGGCGAAGGCAGCUCCCUGGCAUCAUACUGACACUGAGGUGCGAAAGCGUG
This 603-nucleotide ribosomal RNA is filed under the name Moraxella catarrhalis. RNAcentral's name for it is "bacterial SSU rRNA". It matches the Rfam family "Bacterial small subunit ribosomal RNA", at positions 160 to 763 of the family's 1533-position model. Lineage: Bacteria; Pseudomonadati; Pseudomonadota; Gammaproteobacteria; Moraxellales; Moraxellaceae. The record is from RNAcentral.